GGCUUUUUCCCCUCUGUUGAUGGAAAUGACGAAGGUGGAGGUUAAAAAUCCAUUCCUAUGUUUUUUCUUUGUAAUUUUUUUUCCUUCUUAAUGAAAUCUCAUCCAUUUAGCAAAAAUAAAAUAUAAAAAAGAGAGAAGUGGAAGAGAAAAAGGGUUCAAAUUCUGUUAUUCUUCUCAGGCUGAGAAGCGAAAUGGAGGGAGGGCGAGUUUCAUGGAGAAAUUUCAGAUUUGUGUUUGAGAAUCUGAGAUCGCGAAGAGGGAGAGAUUUCCUUGGAGUUUAGGUUUCAGAUUCGGAGAGGAGGGUUUUUAGAAAAGAAAAGGGGCAGAAACCAGUUUCUUCUCCAGCGGGUUUCAGAGAAGUGAAGGCCAAGAACUUGCGACUCUCAGGAGGGUCUUCAAUCUGCCGUCCAUGACUCUGCUAAUCCGCUUUUCGUUUCUUAGAAGUAGCGGUAGCUUCCAAGCUUGAGUCGACCCAUCAUUUCUGGAAGUCAAGGUUUAAUAAACUCCCAAACAAACAAUCAAACUGUGAGGUCGAUCCUAAGAAAGUUAAGAGUUGGUGCGCUUCCAUCACGUUAGUGCAGUCUCUAGGUCAUCCCUCCAAGAAAGAUAUAAUAUUGCACCAUCUGGCACCGGCUGCAUAUAAUUUCAGAUUUUGUUGUUGGAUGGAAGCAUACAUCCCCAAACCCUAGACAGAUUUGGUGGACAGACACUCCCAUUGACAUCCUUGAAGCUCUAGCAUACCCAAAGGCCAUAACAUGAUUUAGCUUAUUUCUUGUUUCAACAAGAAGGUGAGUCUGCCGAUGGCAUUAUCAAUCUUCGCCAAUAUCACAUAGAUCGGCUUUUUAGAGUAAUCACUAAAAGGGCGUGUUGCGUACCCAGUGCACGAGGCUCCCGCAUGUGUGAGGUCCCCGGGAGAGGGGGGAGAACUAUGGCGAGAACUAUGCAGCCUUACCUGGAGAAUGUUGAGAGAUUGUUUCAACCUUAUUGUAUUGUAUAUAUAGUAUCUUUUGUGCGCUAAAGUUAACAAUCUAGCUAACAUUGAGAACUUAAACUAUUUAACUUCUCUACAGACCAGUAAUUGAUCAGAACUUAUACUAUGCUCGGAUGAAGUAUACAUCAACCACAACCAUGUCAAAUUUACUUCCUCUUUAAGUAUUAACCUCUCUGUUUA
Molecule: long non-coding RNA, 1171 nt
Organism: Macadamia integrifolia
Lineage: Eukaryota; Viridiplantae; Streptophyta; Magnoliopsida; Proteales; Proteaceae
Exons: 5
Source: RefSeq, a predicted model, not a curated record